GAGUAACGCGUGAGCAAUCUGCCUUUAAGAGGGGGAUAACAGUCGGAAACGGCUGCUAAUACCGCAUAAAGCAUCAAAUUCGCAUGUUUUUGAUGCCAAAGGAGCGAUCCGCUUUUAGAUGAGCUCGCGUCUGAUUAGCUGGUUGGCGGGGUAACGGCCCACCAAGGCGACGAUCAGUAGCCGGACUGAGAGGUUGAACGGCCACAUUGGGACUGAGACACGGCCCAG
RNAcentral lists this ribosomal RNA (228 nucleotides) under uncultured Bacillota bacterium. RNAcentral describes it as "uncultured Firmicutes bacterium partial 16S ribosomal RNA". It matches the Rfam family "Bacterial small subunit ribosomal RNA", at positions 108 to 334 of the family's 1533-position model. Lineage: Bacteria; Bacillati; Bacillota. The record is from RNAcentral.